GUAUCCUUCUUUAACCUUUCGGAGUAUUUGGAAGAUAAAAAUUAUGCAAUGAUUUGUUGAGAUGUGGACAUAAUGGUGCUGCUUAAUCAGUUUGCUUCCAAUAUGGCUUCGUAUCCAGAAGCCCUGACUAGUGGAGAUGAGAAAGAUUUCAAAACCUGUCUGCCUACACCUACCAGCAACCUAGGCUUGUGAUCAGAAUGAAUGAUCCCAAGAAACUACUUGACCAAGUGUGUUUUGUUGUCCUGGAUUUGAGAUGUGCGUUCUUCCUCCCUCUGAGACUGUUGAUGUAUGAGUGUGAAGAAGUUACAGAAACAACGCUCAGAUUUUCACGGUAACUUUCCCUCUGCCCACACUGUAGAGUUUCAGAUUGUUCACUG
RNAcentral lists this long non-coding RNA (377 nucleotides) under Androctonus crassicauda. Lineage: Eukaryota; Metazoa; Arthropoda; Arachnida; Scorpiones; Buthidae. The record is from RNAcentral.